RNAcentral lists this unclassified non-coding RNA (369 nucleotides) under uncultured fungus. Its description in RNAcentral is "sequence contains ITS1". The stretch from base 1 to 105 matches the Rfam family "5.8S ribosomal RNA", at positions 50 to 154 of the family's 154-position model. The record is from RNAcentral. Lineage: Eukaryota; Fungi.
GAAAUGCGAUACGUAAUGCGAAUUGCAGAAUUCAGUGAAUCAUCAAAUCUUUGAACGCAACUUGCGCUUUCGGGUAGCCCCGGAAGCAUGCUUCUUUGAGUAUCGUUUCAACCCGUCUCUGUCUGCGUGCGUGCGCGCAAGUAGCAUGGAGUAUUGAGGGUUAGACUCGCAGUCUAUCCUUUUAAAUACGCGCUCUACUCAACUUUGUUGGGAAACCGGAAGCUUCUCAACUAGUUGAUGUUCGAUAAUUGACCUCUGUGUCAACAUAUCACAUCGGCUAGGAGGGGCAAUCUGUACGAGCGGCAAAGGAAAUACAUAUUGUUUUUUGAACUUGAUCUCAGAUGAAGCAAGAUUACCCGCCGAAUUUAA